Myotis lucifugus (little brown bat) is the source of this 1595-nucleotide long non-coding RNA. RefSeq lists it as uncharacterized. Lineage: Eukaryota; Metazoa; Chordata; Mammalia; Chiroptera; Vespertilionidae. The transcript has 2 exons. The record is from RefSeq and is a predicted model, not a curated record.
UAACAAAGAAAAAUCAACCAAAAAAAUGAGUUCAAGUGUCACCUCUGACACGCGUAUUAUAGGUUCGCCAUCACUGUCCUAGGAGCUGCCGGAGGGAGGGGGCCAGGAAAGGCUUCACGAAGCUGGGAUGUUGGAGCUGAACCUUGAUGAAUGCGGCAGCUUCCUGACGGUGGUCCCUGCACCUGUCUUAUCUUCCCAUUCACCCAUCACACUGCUGUCAGACGUGCCCCCUGAAAAGACUAAUUGACCACACCACACCCCUGCAGAAAUACUGCUAGCAGUGCUGCUCCAGGUGUGGUCUGCCCUCCUGCGUUACCUGUCCACGAGGAAAGAAGUACAAAGGGAGAUAAGCAUCACCCAUGGUGUGAUCCUUCACUGAUUAGUUUGGGGAGCACUGGCCCACAGAGUCAAGGCCGAGCUCCUCAGUAUGCAUGCAAGGCCCUUCCGAAUCCGCUCUUGCCCACCUCUGCAGCCUCAACUCCCCUUUUCCCCCCAGAGGUGUGCCUUGUUGCAGCCACAGCUCCUCUCCAGGCCUCGGAGACAUUGGGCCUUGGCUUCUGCACCCUCCCCUCCAGCAGCCUGCACUGCUGGGCAGGCUCCUUUCAUCCCAGGCUACUUGCUUGUUUCCUCAAGCAGGGUGAGCCCUUUCCUCAAGUGGGUGUUGGAGGCACUUCCUGCUGGUGGUGCGAAUCUUUGUUUACAUUUGUCUUCCUGCCGAAUUUCUAACUCCUUGAAGGUGGGGUCUCUAAACAGCCAGGGAUGCUCAGGAAAUGUCGGAGGACCUGAGGCCCACUGGAGUUCCAGAACCCUUCUGACUAGACGUCCUUCAGGAGCCCUGAAAAGCAGAUGAGACUUGACUUUGCCUCCUCAGGAUACUCACCUGCCACUCGUGCCAUCGUCACAUUAGUUUCCAGUUCCAGUUUUUGAUCUGAGUUUCACACAGCUUUUGCGGCUUCUGCAGGAGGCUUUCUGUCCUUUAGGCUGUGUGCCUCUGGAAGUGCCCGACUUCUGCCUGCAGAGGUGUGAUGGAAACGUGAGAAGGGAAGUUGUGGGAAGGGUUGACAUUUUGUUAAUAGCCCUAAUCUCUUUUCUCCUAAGAACCUUUCUAGGCUUCAGAUACGCAUCACCACCUUUCUACUUUAUCGGCUAAGCACAAGAAAAGUGUUUCUUUGUUCUCCAUUGUUUUGGAGGACUGAAAAUUAAGUUUCACAAGAAGGGACAUGAGAGGGCCUGUUUCUGCUUUUGAGCAUCUUGGAAAUGUGUUUCCUGUAUUUUACUCUUUGUCAUGGAAGAUUCUAAACAUAAACAGACAUAGAGAUGAUUAUAUAAUGAACGCUCGUGUAUCUGUCACUCAGCUUCAGCCGUCACCAGCUGGUGUCCUGUCUCAUCUGUACCCGCUCACAGCCUCCCUCACGCUCAGGAUUGGCUUCGGAGCAGCACAUCUCCCAUUGUAGAGACACCUCUUAGCCCGCAGCCACCACACGUAGCAUAGAUUUCAACUCCAGUGGGUAGUCUUUGCUGCAUUACUUGGUAUGUAUCAGAGCACAGUUGUAAAUGUUGAAGUGCAUGAAUAAAAUUCCUUUUUUUAUUUGCUG